Long non-coding RNA from Nicotiana tabacum (common tobacco), 920 nucleotides. RefSeq lists it as uncharacterized. The record is from RefSeq and is a predicted model, not a curated record. NCBI's taxonomy places the organism in Eukaryota, Viridiplantae, Streptophyta, Magnoliopsida, Solanales, Solanaceae.
GAACUUCCCUCAUUCUCUUCAUCUCCCUCAAAUUUCCAAACCCUAGCCGCCACCACACCCCCACAACUCUCCAUCGGCGGCCACCACCCCAACCAUGCCCAAAUAUUUACCCCACAAUCCUCAAUACCUCAUCUAUCUUGAUCCACCUUCAUAUUUCCUUAAAAACCCUAGAACUCGCCUAAUAAUAGAUCUAAAAAUAGGCUGCACCCUAAUCCUUUUCUUUUGUUGACUUCUGCCGAUUCUGGAGUCGUAUAGAGAUAAAAUGCUCACCAAUCGACUAGUCUUGUUUCGAACUACUGGUAGGUGUUAGUUUUGAGUUGUUUCACGGGCAUCGAAAUCUGCUUAGAUUCCCAUUUGUCCCUCCGAAUUUCCCCUUUCUCUAACCUUAGUAGUCAUCGGCGUAUGCACCACUGGUCGAGCUUUAAAGCACAAAGCCAGUGGUCAUCCGUUGAUGACCACUGUUGGUCGAAAAGUAUUUCAUGGGCAGUCAUCUGCAUUCUUAAGGGUAAGUUGUGGAAGGGAAGAACCAUCAGUGGAAUAAAUAUGGCUGCGGUUCAUGAAUUUGGCUACUAAUUGGUCAAAUUUGUGAAUCGCAAAGCCAAGAGCUAGAGCAGCGGAAGUGUUCGAAGUCUUUGUAAAUCGUCUCACCCAGUCGGAAGCAUGAAUGCAUGUAAUCGUUCCCCUAAUGUCAAAGGGAAAUGUGUUUCAUCAUUAGUUAAUUGAGUAGGAUUGUAAUAAACACUGAAAAUUCUCUACGUUCUUUGUUAAUCGCCUAUUCUCAUUUGUAUGUAAUAUAUUCUAGAAUUAUUGGAGUAUGAGCUGAAAUUUUGGGUUAAAGUAUUCAUGCUGCAGCAAGUAAUAAUAGGCUAUGUGUAUAAACUUUAAUUUUGAUUUAGCUUUGCAAGUUCAUUUGUGAGCCA